Molecule: ribosomal RNA, 454 nt
Filed under: uncultured bacterium
Lineage: Bacteria
Description: bacterial SSU rRNA
Rfam family: Bacterial small subunit ribosomal RNA
Source: RNAcentral
UACGGGAGGCAGCAGUGGGGAAUAUUGCACAAUGGGCGCAAGCCUGAUGCAGCCAUACCGCGUGUAUGAAGAAGGCCUUCGGGUUGUAAAGUACUUUCAGUCGUGAGGAAGGUGUUAAGGUUAAUAACCUUAGCAAUUGACGUUAGCGACAGAAGAAGCACCGGCUAACUCCGUGCCAGCAGCCGCGGUAAUACGGAGGGUGCGAGCGUUAAUCGGAAUUACUGGGCGUAAAGGGCACGCAGGCGGUUAAUUAAGUUGGAUGUGAAAUCCCCGGGCUUAACCUGGGAAUGGCAUUCAAGACUGGUUAGCUAGAGUCUUGUAGAGGGGGUAGAAUUCCAUGUGUAGCGGUGAAAUGCGUAGAGAUGUGGAGGAAUACCGGUGGCGAAGGCGGCCCCUGGACAAAGACUGACGCUCAUGUGCGAAAGCGUGGGGAGCGAAACAGGGAUUAGAUACC